AACAAACUUUUCACAACUCAAACAUAUUUUGGGGAUCUCAAGUAUUUUUUGUAAAGAGGGUACAAUAUUGAAAAUGGGAACAUUUUUCGUACUAUGAACAACUUUUUCAAUAUGCGAAUAUUUUUCAAAAUACAGGAACAAAUUUGAAAAACGCCCUGCAAUUAUGGACAUUUAUUUCAAUACACAAAUAUUUUAUGAAAUUCUCCCGAACAUUUUUCACUUGGCGUACGAAUUAUAAAAACGCAAUUUUUGUUGAAUUUGUGAACAAAUUAAGAAAAAAGGAAC
Molecule: long non-coding RNA, 285 nt
Filed under: Hordeum vulgare
Lineage: Eukaryota; Viridiplantae; Streptophyta; Magnoliopsida; Poales; Poaceae
Description: long non-coding RNA (HVUL_LNC020910)
Source: RNAcentral